UUUGAAAUCUGGCACCUUCGGUGUCCGAGUUGUAAUUUGAAGAAGGUAACUUUGGAGUCAGCUCUUGUCUAUGUUCCUUGGAACAGGACGUCACAGAGGGUGAGAAUCCCGUGCGAUGAGAUGUCUGAUUCUAUGUAAAGUGCUUUCGAAGAGUCGAGUUGUUUGGGAAUGCAGCUCUAAGUGGGUGGUAAAUUCCAUCUAAAGCUAAAUAUUGGCGAGAGACCGAUAGCGAACAAGUACAGUGAUGGAAAGAUGAAAAGAACUUUGAAAAGAGAGUGAAAAAGUACGUGAAAUUGUUGAAAGGGAAGGGUUUGAGAUCAGACUUGGUAUUUUGUAUGUCUUGCUUUCGGGUGGGGCCUCUACAGUUUACUGGGCCAGCAUCGGUUUGGACGGUAGGAUAAUGACAUUGGAAUGUGGCACCACUUCGGUGGUGUGUUAUAGACUUUGUUGAUACUGCCUGUCUAGACCGAGGACUGCGUCUUUGACUAGGAUGCUGGCAUAAUGAUCUUAAACCGC
Molecule: ribosomal RNA, 516 nt
Filed under: Scheffersomyces stipitis
Lineage: Eukaryota; Fungi; Ascomycota; Pichiomycetes; Serinales; Debaryomycetaceae
Description: eukaryotic LSU rRNA
Rfam family: Eukaryotic large subunit ribosomal RNA
Source: RNAcentral